ACUCGUAGCCAUUCUCGUUUGCACACGAUUGAUUUCCUGAAACCAGCCAGCAAGGGCUCCGCACAAUCCUCGUAGAAUACGUGCAACAUCGAACACACACAGGGACACACACACGCGCGCGCGCGUAUCGCGAUGCCAGUUGCACGCGUUUUUUCCUCUGGCCGGUUUUCUACGCGAAAUAAAGCAUGGGCACAAGAUCAAAUACGCAGGCAACGUGUAUGUACGCGAAGCUCAUUAUCAAGCGAUUCGAAGCGAGCAUGACAGUCGAGCACGACGAAAACAAACAGUCCAGGAUGAAAGGGUUAACGCGAGGACAGGAGAGAGAACAUGAGCAUGAAUAUGAAUACGAAAACACGAUGAUCGAAGCGUGUGAGAUGCAGGAGAACGAACUGCAUAUUCGCUGCUAGAGAAAAGCCAGUCUUUCGUAUGGUGAGCGACAUACAAAAAAAGGACAGGGAAUCGCUGUCGAACGACUUGAAUCGCGAGAAAAAAAUAAAAACUAGUCACUUGCUUACCCUACUGCCGGAAAAGUCGUGUAAGGAAACAUUCUUGGACGCGGUCACUUCCAGGAUCCUCGUCGUUUGGUUCUCAACCAGUAUCUCCUUAGUUCCUUUUCUUCUACCUUCUUUUUUGCACUAUGUUUCGAUGUCACAAGUUAAACGAAACACACACAAGCACACGAUUUGAUAUAGGCACACAAGUUCAAGGUCGUGACGAUACAAAUAUAAUAUAACCACGACGUAUGCACGAUCGUACGAGUUCCUUCUCGGUACCGCCAAAACAACCACGACCGGCUAAUCUUCGCGAAACCGCACACCAGCCAACUGCCGAGCGUUCGAGACAAAGGGACUGUUAUGCCGGUAUUCGACUAGCGUUGCCUCCGCAAACGGAGGGACGAAAGAAAGGAACGCCGUGAUGACAGCAACGAGUUGCCAGUCAAGACCGGCUUUGACGCGGUAACAGCACCCACGAUUGAUAGGACGCGAGUCACCGCGAGACCGGAAAACACGAGAAACGCACGCCGGCUACUCUGUCUCCCUCUCUCAUGCACUCUCCUUCUUUCUCUCUCACUGUCUCUCCCCCUUUCUUCUUUCCUCGACAGUUUUGUAGGUUAGUCCAAACGACCGGCCAGACGAUAACGGCGUCGCUGCGCGUCUCUCCAGUCCUCGCACUUCACAGUGUGGCAGCUGUGCGCUCGCCUCCUCGAUUUGUUGGUGGGGGAAUCGUCGAAGGUGGAGGGGAUAGGCGAAGGGAUCUCUAGCAUGGAGAACCGACCGCACGGACCGACGACGAGUAUAAUGUCGGGGGAGGGGGGAUUGGCCGAACCAAGGGAUACACUGCGAAGUAGGGGUAGGUUAGGUUGGGACACCUGGAGGGAGAAGCGAGCGCACCCCUAUGCGAACGCGGCCGUGGCGCGUACUACGAAACAGGCGCACGCACACGGAGAAUGUACGCCGGUUCGCCAAUUCCUCUGCCCUUCGCUAAGAGACUCCACGCCUCGUGCUGUUCGACGCGGUCGAGUCCAGUCUUUGCAGUGGUGCUCACUAAAUACUUCCCAACUUCGACUAACCGUUUGCUUUAACGAUGCUGAUGAAUAUCGGUUUUCCAAUUCUGUACGGUUCACAAGUGGCGAAACUUUUCCUAUCCCGUUAAUAACAUCUAUUAUUAUUGGCAUUGUCUAUUGAUUUAUUCAUCAUUUCACCAAAUAAACAAAUGAGUGUUAACAAAAUUCAUCGUGCAUGUCUUGUACCGGUCUCUUUGCUAGAGAAACGUACGGUGGAAUGUCAAGAGGGCAGGUCAGGAUCGAGACUAGCUGGCCGGUCUCCAAAUCGUUAUCCAGAUUCUGGACGUGCGUGCCUCGACCCAAGGUAAAUGUGUCGGCGUUAUUUGAUGACCAUCCGUCGGCAAACUUAUGGGGCAUGAAAAAGACUGCGAAUUUUAUAUCGCAAAAUAUAAUCAUCUAUACCACGUAGAAUCAACUAACAUAGAUGAAUGGAUCGAGCAUUCCCGAUCGAAUACGAAUGAAAAAUAAUCUUUACAUUUUAAAAGCACAAUUCCAGAUUUUAUUUCGAAAAUCCGUGAAUGAAGAUCGAACAAGCGCAUUGUUCCCAUUGUCGAUAUAUUUUUCAUUCAAUUCGCGGAUUCAAUUCGAUCCGGUGUCCGUCGAUAUUACGAAUAUCGAUACGAUAUUCAAAUAACACGGAUACGCGUUCUAACCAAUAUCUAAAUGGUGCAAAUGUACAAUAUCACGGCUUUAAUCUCGCGAAGUACAUAUUUACUCGUUUAUUUCCGAUCGUGUGUAAUUACUUAAAGAAUCAUUUUUCGCGCUUCUGUGACGAUACUUGGAGGGACGAUAUCACAUUGAUUAAUGGUUUUUCUGGCGAAUCUUUAAAUUGGAAUUGGAAAAAACAAAAAAUAGAAACGCUAGGUGGCAGGAUCUCGUUCGAUGGGAAGAAGAAGAGAGAAAAAUUUUUAGAUUCGACAGGGACAAAACGCAGGAAGUACUCUCGGACUUCCUCAUCCGGGUAACAUGAGGCUCGUCGAGGGUGAGGGGGCAGGCUGGGGUGAGUGACACAGUCGUAGUGCUUCCGACGUCGCCGGUUGAAACCUGUAAGUACUCCCCCGUUUCGUUUCCCGACUUCGAGACACCGCGGACGCGCGAUUUUAUUACGUAAAUUGAAUUUACACGACACGACACGACUUGGCGCGCGCGAUCGAUUCGCAAGCGCCAUCCUUCGGGAGAUAACUUGGCGAAUCGAGCUAACGAAGUAUGCCGUAAUUGAUUUCUAUCGAAUGGAUACCCGGAGGACGUUAAAAGCUUCGAAUCGUGCUAUCCGAAGCGAGCUAUUCUCUUUGGGAAUGUUCCGAUUUUGAUGAAUGCGCGAUAAGGAAGUUUGAUCGAUUUUCGGGCGAAGGAUUAAUUGCGAUAAUACGAAGGGGGAAAACAUUGUUACAAUUUUCCUGCGAUAACGGCGCUAUAAAUAAGGAUCUAAGCGGCGCUGUCGGUCAAAGGUGUAUGUAUAUAUAUAUAUAUAUAUAUAUAUUAGAAAUAGGAAUUUAUUCGUAUCGAUAAGUAAUGUUAAAUGUUGUAUUUUUCUUGAAAUAUUUUAUCUAACGUUUUCUUUUAUUUUUCGUAUCGAGAUAUCGGUUUGUUGAUCAAUUUCAUCGUUUGGAAUUUAAUCAGUGGAUACGGGUAUCGUUAAAUAUUUGCAUUGUUAAUACGAUAUCAUUUAAAUUAAUAUACAUAUCAAUUCAAAACUUUAAACAAUUGAAUGCAAUUUAAAUAGUUGUUUUAUUAAUUGUUGCAUUACGAAAGAGAGUUAUAAUUAUCGAUUCAAUGUCUAAUGCUUUUUUUAUGAAUAUUUAAGAUGGAAAUAGAUUGUUUGACACUCUAUCUUUCAUCAUGUAUCAUCAUGUUUAUUUGUUAUUAUUGCUAUUAACAUUAACAGAAUUUUCAAAAAGGUAACAGGAAAAAAUUAAUCGCUAAUGUUAAAAAUUUAAAUCGAGAAAUGUAAUUAAUGAAAAUCAAUUAAUAUUAUUUUCAAUAAAGCUAGAAAAUAAUCUAAAGUUGAAAAUUAAUUAAAAAUUCGGUCAUAUAAUUUUCAACAAUCUAAUAUUUAGUUUUUAAACUUCUUUGUUUUAAGUUUUAAAUUGAAAAAUCUAGAAGCACUCUAAUUUAUUUGUCUUCCCAAUGGCGAUACAAAGAAAGUGACAAAAUUCCAGUUUCGAAGAAUAUUUUAAUAAUGAGAGCAAUAAGAGAGCAAAAUCAAUCUUCAAAAUUUAUUUUUCUGAAUUUCCAAUACAAUUUCAAUUUCAAUAUUUUUAAUUUAAAAUUUUACUUUAUCUCGUUUCACUCUGUCACCUAGUGGAGAUAUUUAAAAGAACGAGACGAGACGUAUUAAAAACUUGUGAUAUCAUUUCCUCAAAGUGAUAUUUUAUCAGAAAAAAUUGCUUCAUGAAAAAUUCAUUUUACUCUACAUAAAUAUAAACUUUUAAUUUAAUAACAUUCAGAAUUUUCGAAUAAGCCGAGUUUCUUAUAAAACAGGGUUCCAAUAUUUUAAUUGUUGUUGACUGUAAUAAAUAAAUACAAAAAUAUCGACUUAUUUAUCAAGUUUAAUUCCCAAUUUAAUUCGCGUUAGAUAAAACAGGAAAUGCAAAUAGCGUGUGACAGAGACAGGCUCUAUUCCCAUCUUGCUUCAUCCAACGCAUAUUUCAAUUGUUUAUAACUUAAUAAAUAAACUUUAACUGGCAUUUUUAUGUAAGUUUUAUAUUUUAGUCUUUUAGAAUCGUCCUUCCAUGAAUAUAUUAACACCAGAAUGUCAUAAAUCUUCUGGAUCUGGUCGGGUCGGGAUUCCGAAAGUUUGUAAAAUUACCUGCUAUUUUGGGUAUCCAAAAUUGUAGCCGGUCCGAAUUCGGUUUAGUUCAGAAAUUUUGUAGCUAUGCAAGCAGAAUGCUUUUUCUAUCAAUUUCAACGGUCAAAAUUUCGUAUUUUCUAAAAAAAAAUGACGAUACAACGCAUACAUUUUCUAUAUUUCUGCAUAUUUUUUGCUGCAUGGGUAACAAAAGAUCAUUAAAAAAAAAUUUAUCGGCAAAUAAAGAAGAGGAAUUUGCCUAUACAUAGUUUAUAUUUACUGUUAAUACGUUUAUUGUAAUUGUAAGUCGGUCAGAAACGAUAAUGUUGAAUCACAUGUUGUUAAAACUAAUCUUUAAAGGUACAUUCAUUUUCUAUCCGUCUUCUAAUUACUGUCUUUCGACUAUCUACGUUUAUUUCUUCGACGUUAGCUAUUUAAUAAAGAAAUUAUAAU
This is a long non-coding RNA of Apis cerana (Asiatic honeybee), 4805 nucleotides long. RefSeq lists it as uncharacterized. The record is from RefSeq and is a predicted model, not a curated record. Lineage: Eukaryota; Metazoa; Arthropoda; Insecta; Hymenoptera; Apidae.